UUAGUCUUAUAAUUUAAGACUGGAAUGAAAGAGAAAAUUAAGAAGACUCUUUCUUAAUUGUAAUAUGAUGAAUUUUACUUUUUAGUAAAAAGGCUAAAAUGAAAUUUUUAGACAAGAAGACCCUAUAAAUCUUUACAUGUGAGAAAAUUUAAAAAUUUUAAUCAUGUUUAACUGGGGCGGUGAAAAAUAUUUAAACAUUUUUUAAAUAUAAAGAUUGUAUCGAAAUAACCAAAAAUUUUGAAAAAUAAAUAAGUUACUUUAGGGAUAACAGCGUAAUUUACUUUUAAAGUUCUUAUUGACAAGUAAGUUUGCGACCUCGAUGUUGGAUUAAAGUUCUUGUUCUGUG
Molecule: ribosomal RNA, 346 nt
Filed under: Teruelius flavopiceus
Lineage: Eukaryota; Metazoa; Arthropoda; Arachnida; Scorpiones; Buthidae
Description: partial large subunit ribosomal RNA
Source: RNAcentral